CCUACGGGAGGCAGCAGUGGGGAAUAUUGCACAAUGGGCGCAAGCCUGAUGCAGCCAUGCCGCGUGUAUGAAGAAGGCCUUCGGGUUGUAAAGUACUUUCAGCGGGGAGGAAGGGAGUAAAGUUAAUACCUUUGCUCAUUGACGUUACCCGCAGAAGAAGCACCGGCUAACUCCGUGCCAGCAGCCGCG
RNAcentral lists this ribosomal RNA (189 nucleotides) under uncultured bacterium. Its description in RNAcentral is "partial 16S ribosomal RNA". It matches the Rfam family "Bacterial small subunit ribosomal RNA", at positions 338 to 519 of the family's 1533-position model. The record is from RNAcentral.